RNAcentral lists this ribosomal RNA (253 nucleotides) under uncultured bacterium. RNAcentral's name for it is "partial 16S ribosomal RNA". It matches the Rfam family "Bacterial small subunit ribosomal RNA", at positions 524 to 776 of the family's 1533-position model. The record is from RNAcentral.
UACGGAGGGUGCAAGCAUUAAUCGGAUUUAUUGGGCGUAAAGGGCGCGUAGGCGGGGAAUCAAGUCAGAUGUGAAAUCCCGGGGCUCAACCUCGGAACUGCAUUUGAAACUGGUUCUCUUGAGGGUAGGCGGAGAAAACGGAAUUCCACAAGUAGCGGUGAAAUGCGUAGAUAUGUGGAAGAACACCGGUGGCGAAGGCGGUUUUCUAGCUUAUACCUGACGCUGAGGCGCGAAAGCAAGGGGAUCAAACAGG